AACGUAGGGGGCCAGCGUUGCUCGGAAUUACUGGGCGUAAAGGGUCCGUAGGCGGUGCGGCAAGUCGGAGGUGAAAUCUCUGGGCUUAACUCAGGGGCUGCCUUUGAUACUGGCGAUCUUGAGUCCGGGAGAGGUGAGUGGAACUGCGAGUGUAGAGGUGAAAUUCGUAGAUAUUCGCAAGAACACCAGUGGCGAAGGCGGCUCACUGGCCCGGUACUGACGCUGAGGUGCGAAAGCGUGGGUAGCAAACAGG
RNAcentral lists this ribosomal RNA (253 nucleotides) under uncultured bacterium. Its description in RNAcentral is "partial 16S ribosomal RNA". It matches the Rfam family "Bacterial small subunit ribosomal RNA", at positions 524 to 776 of the family's 1533-position model. The record is from RNAcentral.